Molecule: ribosomal RNA, 306 nt
Filed under: uncultured bacterium
Lineage: Bacteria
Description: partial 16S ribosomal RNA
Rfam family: Bacterial small subunit ribosomal RNA
Source: RNAcentral
GACAGCAGUCGCCGCGGUAAUACGAAGGGUGCAAGCGUUACUCGGAAUUACUGGGCGUAAAGCGUGCGUAGGUGGUGGUUUAAGUCCGUUGUGAAAGCCCUGGGCUCAACCUGGGAAUUGCAGUGGAUACUGGAUCACUAGAGUGUGGUAGAGGAUAGUGGAAUUUCCGGUGUAGCAGUGAAAUGCGUAGAGAUCGGAAGGAGCAUCUGUGGCGAAGGCGACUAUCUGGGCCAACACUGACACUGAGGCACAAAAGCGUGGGAGCAAACAGGAUUAGAUACCCCCGUAGUCCCUGUCUCUUAUACA